Molecule: long non-coding RNA, 682 nt
Organism: Dicentrarchus labrax (European seabass)
Lineage: Eukaryota; Metazoa; Chordata; Actinopteri; Moronidae
Exons: 3
Source: RefSeq, a predicted model, not a curated record
AGAGAGAAAGGGUGGAGGGGGUCAAAUAAAUAAGACAAAAAGAAAAUACAUUUCUGUCAUUAGUAGACAGGAGUCUGGCAUGUGCUUGAUAGAACAAACAACAAGAACAUCAAUCAAACAGAUGUGUGAUUAGUGAGAAGCCUACUGAUCCCUACCCGGUGGUUUUGGUUGUUGGUGAGCUUGAGAGUGUCGAAGGAUACCGUCUGCUUCAUCCACUGGGCUCCACAGGCAGGGAUAAAGUCCAUGAGCAGGACAUAUUCAGCAGCAGGAUCCAUCCCGGAGAUUUGCACCUGGAAUGUUGGAAACAUCCUCCUGCAGUUUGUGAACAUGUAGAUGAGCAUAAUGUAGCAAGGGACCCCAGACAAAGAGUAAAAAUGAAGUGCGAGAUAAGGCAACAAGCAAUAUAAAUAUGAAUGUUAUUGUUACCUUCCGGCUUUGGUAACAAUCAUCUCUGUGCCCAGCUGGUCAAACUGCUGCCAAAGUACAUGCAUUUCCAGCUGAACCCUAACCCCGCUGACUUGGGGGGCCUUGGCGUUCGGCAGUGACCCCCUGUCUGCACAGCAGGGCAGAGAUAGUUCACAGCUCUGAGACAGCUGAGGACCUAAGGAGAGGAGAGGAGAGGAGAGGAGAGGAGAGAUGUGUGUUUAACUUUUGUCCGCCUUUGAAUCACAGAUUCUGUCCA